This 324-nucleotide unclassified non-coding RNA is filed under the name Hevea brasiliensis (rubber tree). The record is from RNAcentral. Lineage: Eukaryota; Viridiplantae; Streptophyta; Magnoliopsida; Malpighiales; Euphorbiaceae.
GAGAAUUCUACGAACUCCAUUAACAAUAAUGUCCUGCGUGUGAUCAGACGGAUACCUCCUUUUCUGUUUCUCUAGAUCCAACGAGUUUUCCGUGACAGACAAAUUUGCCCACUUCUUAUAUUUAUCACUUGAGUUGACAAUAGUUAGAAGGUACUGCACAAUUACAUGUUCCCCAACUAGGAUGUCUCUAAUUGCCCCUGUUAAAGCAAGCUUGGAACAGACCUCAAUGUUGUGAAUCUUGGGAGGAAAAAUGCCUGGGGUGUCUAAUACAUAAAUAUUGGGAUGACUAGCUAUCUGUAAUUCAAAGCAACUUAAAAAGAAAAU